RNAcentral lists this unclassified non-coding RNA (135 nucleotides) under uncultured Ascomycota. RNAcentral's name for it is "sequence contains ITS1". Lineage: Eukaryota; Fungi; Ascomycota. The record is from RNAcentral.
CAAGAAGCUGGGCGCUCGCGCCCGACCUUCUCACCACCGCGUACGAAAUUCAGUUGCCUCGGCCGCCCGUCGGCCGAAGGAAAGCCAAACCAACUUGUCUGAAUACCGUCACGAAACAUCGCGAAUGCGAAAGUA